Molecule: ribosomal RNA, 497 nt
Filed under: uncultured bacterium
Lineage: Bacteria
Description: partial 16S ribosomal RNA
Rfam family: Bacterial small subunit ribosomal RNA
Source: RNAcentral
GAUGAACGCUGGCGGCGUGCCUAAUACAUGCAAGUCGAGCGAACAGACGAGGAGCUUGCUCCUCUGACGUUAGCGGCGGACGGGUGAGUAACACGUGGAUAACCUACCUAUAAGACUGGGAUAACUUCGGGAAACCGGAGCUAAUACCGGAUAACAUGUUGAACCGCAUGGUUCAACAGUGAAAGACGGUCUUGCUGUCACUUAUAGAUGGAUCCGCGCCGCAUUAGCUAGUUGGUAAGGUAACGGCUUACCAAGGCAACGAUGCGUAGCCGACCUGAGAGGGUGAUCGGCCACACUGGAACGGAGACACGGUCCAGACUCCUACGGGAGGCAGCAGUAGGGAACCUUCGGCAAUGGGCGAAAGCCUGACGGAGCAACGCCGCGUGAGUGAAGAAGGUCUUCGGAUCGUAAAACUCUGUUAUUAGGGAAGAACAAAUGUGUAAGUAACUAUGCACGUCUUGACGGUACCUAAUCAGAAAGCCACGGCUAACUACGUG